GAUGAACGCUGGCGGCGUGCCUAAUACAUGCAAGUCGAGCGAACAGAUGAGGAGCUUGCUCCUCUGACGUUAGCGGCGGACGGGUGAGUAACACGUGGAUAACCUACCUAUAAGACUGGGAUAACUUCGGGAAACCGGAGCUAAUACCGGAUAAUAUAUUGAACCGCAUGGUUCAAUAGUGAAAGACGGUUUUGCUUUCACUUAUAGAUGGACCCGCGCCGCAUUAGCUAGUUGGUAAGGUAACGGCUUACCAAGGCAACGAUGCGUAGCCGACCUGAGAGGGGGAUCGGCCACACUGGAACUGAGACACGGUCCAGACUCCUACGGGAGGCAGCAGUAGGGAAUCUUCCGCAAUGGGCGAAAGCUUGACGGAGCAACGCCGCGUGAGUGAUGAAGGUCUUCGAAUCGUAAAACUCUGUUAUUAGGGAAGAACAAAUGUGUAGUAACUAUGCACGUCUUGACGGUACCUAAUCAGAAAGCCACGGCUAACUACGUG
Molecule: ribosomal RNA, 496 nt
Filed under: uncultured bacterium
Lineage: Bacteria
Description: partial 16S ribosomal RNA
Rfam family: Bacterial small subunit ribosomal RNA
Source: RNAcentral